Acanthosepion pharaonis is the source of this 95-nucleotide non-coding RNA. The record is from the annotation of a GenBank genome assembly. Lineage: Eukaryota; Metazoa; Mollusca; Cephalopoda; Sepiida; Sepiidae.
CGUUGAAACACUGGUUCUCGGACGAUCACAGAAGUUAAGCAACGUCAAGCCUGGUCAAUACCUAGAUGGGUGAUCGCAGGGGAAUAUCAGGUGCU